RNAcentral lists this ribosomal RNA (636 nucleotides) under uncultured bacterium. RNAcentral describes it as "bacterial SSU rRNA". It matches the Rfam family "Bacterial small subunit ribosomal RNA", at positions 8 to 677 of the family's 1533-position model. The record is from RNAcentral.
AGAGUUUGAUCCUGGCUCAGAAUCAACGCUGGCGGCGUGCCUAACACAUGCAAGUCGAACGAGAAAGUGGAGCAAUCCAUGAGUAAAGUGGCGACCGGGUGAGUAACACGUGACUACCUGCCCUUGAGUGGGGGAUAACUUCGGGAAACCGAGGCUAAUACCGCAUAACAUCGUAAGAUCAAAGGAGCAAUCCGCUGAAGGAGGGGGUCGCGGCUGAUUAGUUAGUUGGUGAGGUAACGGCUCACCAAGACGAAGAUCAGUAGCCGGCCUGAGAGGGCGCACGGCCACACUGGAACUGAAACACGGUCCAGACUCCUACGGGAGGCAGCAGUGAGGAAUUUUGCGCAAUGGGGGAAACCCUGACGCAGCAACGCCGCGUGGAGGAUGAAGUCCCUUGGGAUGUAAACUCCUUUCGAUCGGGACGAUUAUGACGGUACCGGAAGAAGAAGCACCGGCUAACUCUGUGCCAGCAGCCGCGGUAAUACAGAGGGUGCAAGCGUUGUUCGGAAUUAUUGGGCGUAAAGGGCGCGUAGGCGGUGCGGUAAGUCUGUGGUGAAAUCUUCGGGCUCAACUCGGAAAUUGCCUUAGAAACUGCCGUGCUGGAGUGUGGGAAAAGUGAGUGGAAUUCCCGGUGUA